GAUGAACGCUGGCGGCGUGCCUAAUACAUGCAAGUCGAGCGAACAGACGAGGAGCUUGCUCCUUCGACGUUAGCGGCGGACGGGUGAGUAACACGUAGGUAACCUACCUAUAAGACUGGGAUAACUUCGGGACACCGGAGCUAAUACCGGAUAAUAUUUCGAACCGCAUGGUUCGAUAGUGAAAGAUGGCUUUGCUAUCACUUAUAGAUGGACCUGCGCCGUAUUAGCUAGUUGGUAAGGUAACGGCUUACCAAGGCAACGAUACGUAGCCGACCUGAGAGGGUGAUCGGCCACACUGGAACUGAGACACGGUCCAGACUCCUACGGGAGGCAGCAGUAGGGAAUCUUCCGCAAUGGGCGAAAGCCUGACGGAGCAACGCCGCGUGAGUGAUGAAGGUCUUCGGAUCGUAAAACUCUGUUAUUAGGGAAGAACAAACGUGUAAGUAACUGUGCACGUCUUGACGGUACCUAAUCAGAAAGCCACGGCUAACUACGUG
Molecule: ribosomal RNA, 497 nt
Filed under: uncultured bacterium
Lineage: Bacteria
Description: partial 16S ribosomal RNA
Rfam family: Bacterial small subunit ribosomal RNA
Source: RNAcentral